AUCUUAAUUAGCUAUUUCAUUUUCAACGUAAACAUUUCAAGGAACUCCAAAAGUUGCUUAUGGUUAAUUGACAAAGGGUUGGAGUAUCAAAGACCAAGAAUUACUCCCGAGAAUCAGGCCAAUAGCGAUCCAAGUUAGAAAUUUGAGGAAAUUAGUAAAAGCCAAUUCGCUAGGUGAGCCCAAAGCGAGCCAAAUCAGCGAGUUAAAAGGUGGAUUGCAAGAGUUGAUUCACUAAGCAAGCAUCGAUUCACUUUAAGGCAACAUUAGUGACAUGUUGUAUUAGUUGGAAAUUACUUCACAUUGAAGAAACCUCAGCGAGCACCUGUUCGCUUAGCAAAUCUUCCCUUUUAUGCAAAGCAUAUAAAGCAACUCAGAAACCAAAUUUGGGCAUUCUUACACUUCUGGAAGGAAACAUAGAUAAAGGCACAUAGUAGAGAAUGGUGAGCAAACAAGGUUGGGGAGGCUUGGAAGCUUGGACAUCAAGAUUUCAUGUUAUUUCAGCUCAUUCUCACUUCUUUGUACUAGAUAACAUGGGUAUCUGUAGCUAAAUUUCCUCGGUCAAAACUCUCUUAUUUGACCAGAACACCUUAAUGUCUUAGGUGAGUUUGUUCCCAUUGAAAGUUUGAUUGAACGUUAAAACUAUGCAUCAAAAUUCUA
RNAcentral lists this long non-coding RNA (657 nucleotides) under Medicago truncatula (barrel medic). RNAcentral's name for it is "lncRNA gene4239". Lineage: Eukaryota; Viridiplantae; Streptophyta; Magnoliopsida; Fabales; Fabaceae. The record is from RNAcentral.